UCCGUAGGGUGAACCUGCGGAGGGAUCAUUACCGAGUUUACAACUCCCAAACCCCUGUGAACAUACCAAUUGUUGCCUCGGCGGAUCAGCCCGCUCCCGGUAAAACGGGACGGCCCGCCAGAGGACCCUUAAACUCUGUUUCUAUAUGUAACUUCUGAGUAAAACCAUAAAUAAAUCAAAACUUUCAACAACGGAUCUCUUGGUUCUGGCAUCGAUGAAGAACGCAGCAAAAUGCGAUAAGUAAUGUGAAUUGCAGAAUUCAGUGAAUCAUCGAAUCUUUGAACGCACAUUGCGCCCGCCAGUAUUCUGGCGGGCAUGCCUGUUCGAGCGUCAUUUCAACCCUCAAGCCCAGCUUGGUGUUGGGACUCGCGAGUUAAACCGCGUUCCCCAAAUUGAUUGGCGGUCACGUCGAGCUUCCAUAGCGUAGUAGUAAAACCCUCGUUACUGGUAAUCGUCGCGGCCACGCCGUUAAACCCCAACUUCUGAAUGUUGACCUCGGAUCAGGUAGGAAUACCCGCUGAACUUAAGCAUAUCAAUAA
This 539-nucleotide ribosomal RNA is filed under the name Fusarium proliferatum. Its description in RNAcentral is "eukaryotic LSU rRNA". The stretch from base 180 to 333 matches the Rfam family "5.8S ribosomal RNA". The record is from RNAcentral. Lineage: Eukaryota; Fungi; Ascomycota; Sordariomycetes; Hypocreales; Nectriaceae.